GAUGAACGCUGGCGGCGGUGCAUAACACAUUCAAGUCGAACGGAGUUAUUUGGAGUUAAUCCUUCGGGAAGCGUCCGGAUAGCUUAGUGGCGGACGGGUGAGUAACGCGUGAGCAACCUGCCCCUGUGUGUGGAAUAACGUUUGGAAACGAACGCUAAUACCGCAUAAUGCAUGGAGAUCGCAUGGUCACCAUGCCAAAGAUUUAUUGCACAGGGAUGGGCUCGCGUCCGAUUAGAUAGUUGGCGGGGUAACGGCCCACCAAGUCGACGAUCGGUAGCCGGACUGAGAGGAUGAUCAGCCACACUGGGACUGAGACACGGCCCAG
This 325-nucleotide ribosomal RNA is filed under the name uncultured bacterium. RNAcentral's name for it is "bacterial SSU rRNA". It matches the Rfam family "Bacterial small subunit ribosomal RNA", at positions 28 to 334 of the family's 1533-position model. The record is from RNAcentral.